UCCACCGAUUGACUAAGGUUUCCAGAGGAAGGCUCGUCCGCUCUGGGUUAGUCGGGUCCUAAGCUGAGGCCGACAGGCGUAGGCGAUGGAUAACAGGUUGAUAUUCCUGUACCACCUAUAAUCGUUUUAAUCGAUGGGGGGACGCAGUAGGAUAGGCGAAGCGUGCGAUUGGAUUGCACGUCUAAGCAGUAAGGCUGAGUAUUAGGCAAAUCCGGUACUCGUUAAGGCUGAGCUGUGAUGGGGAGAAGACAUUGUGUCUUCGAGUCGUUGAUUUCACACUGCCGAGAAAAGCCUCUAGAUAGAAAAUAGGUGCCCGUACCGCAAACCGACACAGGUAGUCAAGAUGAGAAUUCUAAGGUGAGCGAGCGAACUCUCGUUAAGGAACUCGGCAAAAUGACCCCGUAACUUCGGGAGAAGGGGUGCUCUUU
RNAcentral lists this ribosomal RNA (428 nucleotides) under Staphylococcus aureus. RNAcentral's name for it is "partial 23S ribosomal RNA". It matches the Rfam family "Bacterial large subunit ribosomal RNA", at positions 1333 to 1756 of the family's 2925-position model. Lineage: Bacteria; Bacillati; Bacillota; Bacilli; Caryophanales; Staphylococcaceae. The record is from RNAcentral.